This 253-nucleotide ribosomal RNA is filed under the name uncultured bacterium. Its description in RNAcentral is "partial 16S ribosomal RNA". It matches the Rfam family "Bacterial small subunit ribosomal RNA", at positions 524 to 776 of the family's 1533-position model. The record is from RNAcentral.
UACGUAGGGGGCAAGCGUUGUCCGGAAUUAUUGGGCGUAAAGGGCUCGUAGGCGGUUUGUCGCGUCGGGAGUGAAAACACGGGGCUUAACCCCGUGCCUGCUUCCGAUACGGGCAGACUAGAGGUAUGCAGGGGAGAACGGAAUUCCUGGUGUAGCGGUGAAAUGCGCAGAUAUCUGGAGGAACACCGGUGGCGAAGGCGGCAUCCUGGACCGAUACUGACGCUGAGGAGCGAAAGCCAGGGGAGCAAACGGG